AACGAACGCUGGCGGCAUGCCUAACACAUGCCAGUCGAACGAGACCUUCGGGUCUAGUGGCGCACGGGUGCGUAACGCGUGGGAACCUGCCCUUAGGUUCGGAAUAACUCCCCGAAAGGGGUGCUAAUACCGGAUAAUGUCUUCGGACCAAAGAUUUAUCGCCUUUGGAUGGGCCCGCGUUGGAUUAGCUAGUUGGUAGGGUAAAAGCCUACCAAGGCGACGAUCCAUAGCUGGUCUGAGAGGAUGAUCAGCCACACUGGGACUGAGACACGGCCCAGACUCCUACGGGAGGCAGCAGUGGGGAAUAUUGGACAAUGGGCGAAAGCAUGAUCCAGCAAUGCCGCGUGAGUGAUGAAGGCAUUAGGGUUGUAAAGCUCUUUUAACCGGGAUGAUAAUGACAGUACCGGGAGAAUAAGCUCCGGCUAACUCCGUG
Molecule: ribosomal RNA, 433 nt
Filed under: uncultured bacterium
Lineage: Bacteria
Description: partial 16S ribosomal RNA
Rfam family: Bacterial small subunit ribosomal RNA
Source: RNAcentral